This 428-nucleotide ribosomal RNA is filed under the name uncultured bacterium. RNAcentral describes it as "partial 16S ribosomal RNA". It matches the Rfam family "Bacterial small subunit ribosomal RNA", at positions 354 to 796 of the family's 1533-position model. The record is from RNAcentral.
GUAGGGAAUAUUGCGCAAUGGGGGAAACCCUGACGCAGCGACGCCGCGUGAGUGAUGAAGGCCUUCGGGUCGUAAAGCUCUGUUGUAGGGGAAUAAAAAAAUGAAGGUACCCUGUGAGGAAGGAUCGGCUAACUUCGUGCCAGCAGCCGCGGUAAGACGAGGGAUCCUAGCGUUGCUCGGAAUCAUUGGGCGUAAAGAGGGCGUAGGUGGCUUGGUAAGUCAGGUGUGAAAGCCCAGGGCUCAACCCUGGAAGUGCAUUUGAUACUGCUGAGCUUGAGUGUCGGAGAGGUUACCGGAAUACCUGGUGUAGUGGUGAAAUACGUAGAUAUCAGGUGGAACACCGGAGGCGAAGGCGGGUAACUGGACGAACACUGACACUGAGGCCCGAAAGCGUGGGGAUCAAACAGGAUUAGAAACCCGGGUAGUCC